AUUGAACGCUGGCGGCAUGCCUUACACAUGCAAGUCGAACGGUAACGCGGGGGCAACCCUCGGCGACGAGUGGCGAACGGGUGAGUAAUACAUCGGAACGUACCCAGUAGUGGGGGAGUAGCUCGGCGAAAGCCGGAUUAAUACCGCAUACGACCUAUGGGUGAAAGCGGGGGAGUCNCAAGACCUCGCGCUAUUGGAGCGGCCGAUGUCGGAUUAGCUAGUUGGUGAGGUAAAGGCCAC
Molecule: ribosomal RNA, 240 nt
Filed under: uncultured bacterium
Lineage: Bacteria
Description: partial 16S ribosomal RNA
Rfam family: Bacterial small subunit ribosomal RNA
Source: RNAcentral